GUACAUGGGUGGCUCACAGAAGGUGAGGUUCAUUAUUUAUAUCAUUCAUGAUUCUUAUUUUAGAAAUUGAAUUUGAUUGCUGGAGUAAGGAGUAAAGACACAAAUUAAAGGCCUAUAGCCUUUCGUAUGGGAACUUUUGUCAGUAUCUUUACAUUAACACCACCACCUGCAAACCUCCUUCCCAAGCAGCAAAAGGAAAACUGUAACAAGUAAAAUAAGUUAACUAAUUAAAAGUGGAGGAGAGGGGGGAGUUUAUCUUUGCAUAAAGCUGUGAAUAGAUUAUUGAUUUGGAUGUCUUGAUCUUUGUUGAGCUGAACAGCACGCUGAAAGAGAAAGUUGUCCUGCCUCCUCCUUCUCUCUUCUUUUUUUAAAACACUGUUUCCUCAACUUGAUCUCAUGACUUCCUGGUCAUGGAGGAGCAAUCUUACCCUUGCACCAAGGCUGGCCCUCAAUUGGGCAGCUGGCUGACAGUUACAAAUUGAAGCAGCUCAUUUUAAGGGGUGACAGACAAAGUCAAUCUAUAUAGCAUUAGUAUAUGCUCAAACAUAGCUAGGAGGAUCAAAAUCUUAAUUUAAAGCCAUUAAAAUGUGUAGUUUUUUUAUUGCUUGAUUUAUCUUUUACUUAAUUACCUUGCAGGGGCAUGCGUACUGGUCUUUCGUUUAUUUUACUAGUUGACUGGGGAAAAUAAAAGUGAUUUGCUAUGAAGGUUUUAGUUUGGUUUGUUGAUGUGUUAUCUUUCAUAUGGACUCAUCAGGUUUGGAGGGAAAAAAAUGUUA
This 776-nucleotide unclassified non-coding RNA is filed under the name Hevea brasiliensis (rubber tree). The record is from RNAcentral. Lineage: Eukaryota; Viridiplantae; Streptophyta; Magnoliopsida; Malpighiales; Euphorbiaceae.